GUACCUUCAAGCUCUGCUUGGUGUUGGGUGUUUGUCCCGCCUUUGUGCGUGGACUCGCCUUAAAGCAAUUGGCAGCCGACGUAUUGUUUCGGAGCGCAGCACAAAUUGCGCUUUGCAGCUAUUACGACAGCAUCCAUCAAGCCUUUUUUCAC
This 152-nucleotide unclassified non-coding RNA is filed under the name uncultured Phoma. RNAcentral describes it as "sequence contains ITS2". The record is from RNAcentral. Lineage: Eukaryota; Fungi; Ascomycota.